This is a long non-coding RNA of Mastomys coucha (southern multimammate mouse), 519 nucleotides long. RefSeq lists it as uncharacterized. The record is from RefSeq and is a predicted model, not a curated record. The transcript is spliced from 2 exons. NCBI's taxonomy places the organism in Eukaryota, Metazoa, Chordata, Mammalia, Rodentia, Muridae.
AGACACGGUCCGGCCUAAUAAAGAUGUGGUAAUAAUGCUUCAGCCUUUUUCAACUAUCUGCUUUUGCUAGUGUUCUCCAAGAUGACUCCUUUGGUUCAUGAUGUACUAGAUGAAAUCAUUGGCAAAAGAGGCCAUCUUCUACCUACCUGUCAGCGUCUGCUACUUUCUACCAGUGUUCCAUAAAUGGCUUACUGAAGUUCCUGCUUGGCGACUCAGCAAGUUUACCUGUAGGCAGAACGUGGAUAGUUGCCUGAGAUGGCCCACUUGUAGGCACCCCAGAUGUCUGAAGAGGUGGUGCUGGUAGGAUGGGCUGCAACGGUCGAGACAUGGGCUGAGAAGUGCUCACAGUCGACGCAGAAGGAGGACUUAUCUUUUUGGGGUCUGUUAAUUAAAAUGUAAGACACAUGAGCGAUGAUAGAAGACACAAGGUGACCCAGGCCUGACUUUCCAGAGACUUACUCAUGCUUGCUACCUAUAAAUCACAUUGCCCUCUUUAGAAACAAUGUUUUUCUGUUCUCA